This 497-nucleotide ribosomal RNA is filed under the name uncultured bacterium. Its description in RNAcentral is "partial 16S ribosomal RNA". It matches the Rfam family "Bacterial small subunit ribosomal RNA", at positions 28 to 507 of the family's 1533-position model. The record is from RNAcentral.
GAUGAACGCUGGCGGCGUGCCUAACACAUGCCAGUCGAGCGAACGGACGAUAAGCUUGCUUCUUUGAUGUUAGCGGCGGACGGGUGAGUAACACGUGGAUAACCUACCUAUAAUUCUGGGAUAACUUCGGGAAACCGGAGCUAAUACCAGAUGAUAUUUUGAACCGCAUGGUUCAAUAGUGAAAGACGGCCUUGCUGUCUCUAAUAGAUGGAUCCGCGCUGGAUUAGCUGGUUGGUAAGGUAACGGCUUACCAAGGCUACGAUGCAUAGCCGACCUGAGAGGGUGAUCGGCCACACUGGAACUGAGACACGGUCCAGACUCCUACGGGAGGCAGCAGUAGGGAAUCUUCGGCAAUGGGCGAAAGCCUGACGGAGCAACGCCGCGUGAGUGAUGAAGGUCUUCGGAUCGUAAAACUCUGUUAUUAGGGAAGAACAGAUGUGUAAGUAACUGUGCACAUCUUGACGGUACCUAAUCAGAAAGCCACGGCUAACUACGUG